RNAcentral lists this long non-coding RNA (877 nucleotides) under Cricetulus griseus (Chinese hamster). RNAcentral describes it as "lncRNA (ENSCGRG00000024398.1)". Lineage: Eukaryota; Metazoa; Chordata; Mammalia; Rodentia; Cricetidae. The record is from RNAcentral.
CAGAAGGCAAGGAACAGACGAGCCCAGUGUGGGAUUUGGAUUCUGUGCUAUUUCUAUUCCAAGGAGGUAACCAAUCCCAUAGAAGAGGAAAUAGCAGUGCCCUUGUGACUUACCAUCUCAGAAUUUGAACUGUUUCCUGAGAUUUAGCAGCUGUUUGAGCCCUGUUGGAACUGGGUUCAGAUUUCUCUAUAUCUGGUGAUUUCAUGAUCUAACAAAUAGCAGAAUUAGGGAUUCAGAAUUUAUUUGUGAUCUUUAAACUUCAACCUGAAUCUGAAAGGACAGGCAUAUGGGGAAGUCAUGAUAUUAUUUGGGAGUGACAGUGGUAUAUCAGUCAGCUCCCACUGGGUUAAUAUGCAGUAACAAGCAAUUGAAGAGGCUUGGACCAAAGAUGGCUUGUUUCUCAUUUGCAUUAUGUUUGUGGCUGUGGCUCUGCUGCCUGUGACCACUCAUCUAGGACCCAAAUUGAAAGGGAAGUGCCAGGGACAACUGUGCUCCUAGACAGAAAUGGCAAGACAGCCAAGAGAAACAUGAAAUGGCAUUUGUAGCCCAGAACUAGCCUAGUCACUUCUACCCAUACUUUCUCUGCCACACUGCAUUGUAUGGCCAGGUCUGACCACCGGUGGAGAAGGUGUGCUGUGUCCUCUUCUAGGUACUACGAGUCUCGUGGAUGCUAGAGAUUACCCAUUCACUUACAGGAAGAGGGUCAUGCAGCCCUGGGACCCGAAGGCCUGGCAUCGCAGGGCUUCUGAGACACUGAAGACACUUUGUUUCCACUUGGGGGAUGCUUCUGGAUGAGAGUGGAACCCUUGAAGUGACAAAGAAACCCCAACACAGUUCUUUAAAAAAAAAAAAAGUUUUUUGUUACAUUUAAUGUGUG